This 71-nucleotide transfer RNA is filed under the name Typhoptera quadrituberculata. Its description in RNAcentral is "tRNA-Val". The record is from RNAcentral. Lineage: Eukaryota; Metazoa; Arthropoda; Insecta; Orthoptera; Tettigoniidae.
CAGAAUAGAGCUUUGAAGAGAAGUGUUUCAUUUACAUUGAGGAAGGUUCUGUGCGAUUCAGGAUAUUUUGA